Molecule: long non-coding RNA, 191 nt
Organism: Artibeus jamaicensis (Jamaican fruit-eating bat)
Lineage: Eukaryota; Metazoa; Chordata; Mammalia; Chiroptera; Phyllostomidae
Exons: 3
Source: RefSeq, a predicted model, not a curated record
CAAGUCAUACAAAUGAAAGUUGACGGAACUCUGUCGCUGCCUGACGGGACACCGCAGGACAAGAAGCCCUGCGUGGAUGGUGCCAUUUCCUCUCACACCCAUUUCACAGAAGAGGAAACCGAGGCAGAGAAAGAAGAGAAGGCACAGAGGACAAAGCCUGUGGAGACAGGGGGCAGAAGGAGGGAGCCAUG